This 128-nucleotide ribosomal RNA is filed under the name Photobacterium profundum 3TCK. The record is from RNAcentral. Lineage: Bacteria; Pseudomonadati; Pseudomonadota; Gammaproteobacteria; Vibrionales; Vibrionaceae.
AAAGAAUUUGUCUGGCGACCAUAGCGCUGUGGCUCCACCUGAUCCCAUGCCGAACUCAGAAGUGAAACGCAGUUGCGCCGAUGGUAGUGUGGGGUCUCCCCAUGUGAGAGUAGGGCAUCGCCAGGCGC